GGUAUCUCCUCCACUGGUUCUGCAUCGCUUCCCAGCGGCUCCACCUCCUCCUCGUCGCAGUCCUCGGCAUCGCUCUCUUCGUCAUCGGAGAAGCCUAAAGCUCUUUUCUUUGGCUUUUUCUUGCCAGGCUAUAUGCAGCUUAUGCAAUCGGCCAUAUCGGACAUAAGCCGGACACAGAGGCCUUUCAACGCCUUUCAACUGCAGCUCUCGACUGGUGAUCGGAUCGGAUCGGAGUGGAUGCUGAUGGUGAUGCCGGGGCUUAGCUCUCGACUCUGUCUCUCGCAAUUAAAUGCAAAUUGACAUCCGCGGAGUCCAACAAAAGAGCCAAAGCUUAUCCAGGCUUGUAGUGUUGCAUGUGGCACAUGUAUUGUAGCGUAGCUGUUCCUUGGCCCCAGACCCAGACACGCCUUUUGGCUCUGUCUUUCGUCUUUCGCCUGACUUUGGCUCUGUCUCGGGCCUUUCGAUGCUCGAUUGAGAUUUUUGCCGUUUUGCUUUUAGCAUUUCUUGGCUUUUGGCGAGUGAAAGUGAUAUAUGGCGCAUGACUCAGGCUCCGUCCACGGCCACGGCCACAGCUCGACUCCCAUAAGUAACCCGAACCCAAGCCCCAACCCGUACCCAAGUCAUAUGCAUAAAAUAAUAAUUAAGCGCCAUUUAUGCGGCCAACCAUCAGCAGAAGAUAUGGCCAAAAGGGCGCAGCAGCCGCCAACAACCGAAGAAACACCGAAACCAAACUCAAAAUCAAUUGACAAGUUUCAUGGACACAGAGAAAUUCACCGAGGAAGUGUCGUCGUGGGAGUAAUAUCACCAUAGGGACAGAAAGAAAUCAUUCGAAAUUAGUGAAGCUAAGAUUCUUGGGUACCAAUCGCCCCCCACCAAGGGAAUGAUAUUAUUAUAAAUAUUGAAAAGAAAUCCUAAUUCCUGCUUUCUGUUUUAAAACAAGUACAAUUUAUAUUCCCUUACAAUGAAUUAUACCAAUAAAUCAACAGAAUUUUGAACUCAA
This is a long non-coding RNA of Drosophila pseudoobscura, 1000 nucleotides long. RefSeq lists it as uncharacterized. The record is from RefSeq and is a predicted model, not a curated record. The transcript has 2 exons. NCBI's taxonomy places the organism in Eukaryota, Metazoa, Arthropoda, Insecta, Diptera, Drosophilidae.